RNAcentral lists this ribosomal RNA (620 nucleotides) under uncultured marine Syndiniales. Its description in RNAcentral is "SSU rRNA". It matches the Rfam family "Eukaryotic small subunit ribosomal RNA", at positions 439 to 1064 of the family's 1831-position model. Lineage: Eukaryota; Dinophyceae; Syndiniales. The record is from RNAcentral.
AAUUACCCAAUCCUGACACAGGGAGGUAGUGACAAGAAAUAACAAAGAAGGACCAUACUGGUUUUUCUAUUGGAAUGAGCAGAAUUUAAAUCUCUUUUCGACUAUCAAUUGGAGGGCAAGUCUGGUGCCAGCAGCCGGGGUAAUUCCAGCUCCAAUAGCGUAUGUUAAAGUUGUUGCGGCUAAAAAGCUCGUAGUUGGAUUUCUAGAUGAGAGGAGUGGUCCACUCUAUGAGUGUGUAUCUACUUCCGCUCGUCUAUCCGCUCUGCAAACGUGUCUGCGCUUGACUGCGUGGCGCGGAGGUAGGGCCUUUUACUUUGAGGAAAUUAGAGUGUUCACGGCAGGCAAUCGCCUUGAAUAUAUUAGCAUGGAAUAAUAACAUAGGAUCUUGGUUCUAUUUUGUUGGUUUCUAGGGCUAAAAUAAUGAUUAAUAGGGACAAUUGGGGGCAUUCGUAUCGCGGUGUCAGAGGUGGAAUUCUUGGAUUACUGCGCGACGAACUACUGCGAAAGCAUUUGCCAAGGAUGUUUUCAUUGAUCAAGAACGAAAGUAAGGGGAUCGAAAACAAUUAGAUACCGUCGUAGUCUUUACCAUAAACUAUGCCAACUAGAGAUGGGGCGUCGUU